UGCGUAGGCGGAUUAAUAAGUCAGUGGUGAAAACCUGCAGCUUAACUGUAGAACUGCCAUUGAUACUGUUAGUCUUGAGUACGGUCAAGGUAGGCGGAAUGUGUAAUGUAGCGGUGAAAUGCUUAGAUAUUACACAGAACACCGAUUGCGAAGGCAGCUUACUGGACCAUUACUGACGCUGAGGCACGAAAGCGUGGGGAGCAAACAGGAUUAGAUACCCUGGUAGUCC
Molecule: ribosomal RNA, 229 nt
Filed under: uncultured bacterium
Lineage: Bacteria
Description: partial 16S ribosomal RNA
Rfam family: Bacterial small subunit ribosomal RNA
Source: RNAcentral